Long non-coding RNA from Girardinichthys multiradiatus, 824 nucleotides. RefSeq lists it as uncharacterized. The record is from RefSeq and is a predicted model, not a curated record. The transcript is spliced from 4 exons. Lineage: Eukaryota; Metazoa; Chordata; Actinopteri; Cyprinodontiformes; Goodeidae.
CUACAGAAUAAACUGGGGAGUGUUUGCUUCCAACUGUGCCACCCAUACAGAAACCAGUAAAAUGGAAAACUUCAAUCAGAAACAUUUAAGAGUUAGAAUGAGUAAGAAUCAAUUUUCAUCCUAUGCAGCUUGAUUCUUAUGGUCCUUAGGGCCCAUUGUUCUUCAUGUUUUAGAUGUGUCUCUGCUCCAGAAUACCUGAAGCAAAUGAUUGCAUUAUCCCUCAGCAUGUUAAUCACACCUAAAACAAGCAGGACAGUGAGCCUAUUUAUAAGUGAGGAAAUACACCACUGGAUAUUUAUUGUCUUAAAAACCAAAAUGGCUGAAUUGAAAAAUUCCCAUCAGGCUCGUCGCCAUGAUGACAAUAAACGGUGAUGGUGGUUUGAUGGGCUUUAAUUCGUUAACUGGGUCUAACUGCAUAAAAAAUUAGUUUGACCUUCCGAAGUAAAACAUCGACGUGAUCUUUCGACCAACAGUGCAGCUGAACAAGUUUGAUGGUUUCCUCUUUCGGGAGGAAGACCACGGUGCCCAUCCAUUGCGACGUGUGGAUGGAGACGAGGAUGUUGGCUGAGAUGAGGAAGAUGGAGCUUUCUGGGACCUCCUGGUGAUGCUGUUGAGAGCAGAAGAUCCAAAUGAGGGCAAAUAUUCAGAGCUGAGAGAUGAAAGCUGCGACCGCCUCGUCUUUAACGGCCAAAACUGAAGCAAAGGCAGCGAGAGGCAGAGAACAGCAGAGCUCUUACAUAACUGCUGUAGGGACUUAUGUAACAGGACAAUGUGGGUCAGACUCCAUUCAUCUACUCCAGGUUUAAACUCAGAACCUGGUCUCG